GGUGAGGGGGGGGGGAUCCCUCAUCCUGGAUUGUGAGAGGGCACAGGCCAGGCUGAGGGACCCCACCAGUGCAUG
Molecule: microRNA precursor, 75 nt
Filed under: Myotis brandtii (Brandt's bat)
Lineage: Eukaryota; Metazoa; Chordata; Mammalia; Chiroptera; Vespertilionidae
Description: mir-9193 microRNA precursor family
Rfam family: mir-9193 microRNA precursor family
Source: Rfam by way of RNAcentral